Molecule: ribosomal RNA, 253 nt
Filed under: uncultured prokaryote
Also listed under: 1 other name
Description: partial 16S ribosomal RNA
Rfam family: Bacterial small subunit ribosomal RNA
Source: RNAcentral
UACGGAGGAUCCAAGCGUUAUCCGGAUUUAUUGGGUUUAAAGGGAGCGUAGGCGGCCUAUUAAGUCAGGGGUGAAAGACGGUGGCUCAACCAUCGCAGUGCCUUUGAUACUGAUGGGCUUGAAUAUAGUUGAGGUAGGCGGAAUGUGACAAGUAGCGGUGAAAUGCAUAGAUAUGUCACAGAACACCGAUUGCGAAGGCAGCUUACUAAGCUAUUAUUGACGCUGAGGCUCGAAAGCGUGGGGAUCAAACAGG